The sequence is a ribosomal RNA, 517 nucleotides long. It matches the Rfam family "Eukaryotic large subunit ribosomal RNA", at positions 412 to 918 of the family's 3401-position model.
AGUGGAACCGGAGAGAGUUGACGAAGCAUCUGUGGUGAAGACUUUCGUGAUUGCUUCUGUGAUUUCGUUUGUUGGAUCUGCUUUGGCUGCGUUGGUGGAGUUAUUGGUGUUAGUUGAAACGUGUAGUGUUGCCCACUUCGGCGGUGUCUUACUUGCGCGGAAACUAAUUACUGGUAGCUUUUAGCUUUGCUUGCAAAGUGCCAAUGUUCAAGUCGACCACCUUUCCGACCCGUCUUGAAACACGGACCGAGGAGUGUAGCUAGUGCGCGAGUCAAAGGGUGUUAAACCCCACGGCGAAAUGAAAGUAAAGGCCAGUUUACUGGUUUAACAUAGGAGUUGUUCUUCUGAGCGAUGCACUAUGGCCCUGUCUUGAAAGCUUGCUUUUGGGCAGAGGAAGAGCGUACUGGUUGCGACCCGAAAGAUGGUGAACUAUGCUUGAGCAGGACGAAGCCAGAGGAAACUCUGGUGGAAGUCCGUAUCGGUUCUGACGUGCAAAUCGAUCGAUAGACUUGAGUAU